CGGAAGGUCCUGGUGUUAUCCGGAUUUAUUGGGUUUAAAGGGAGCGUAGGCCGUCAGGCAAGCGUGUUGUGAAAUGUCGUGGCUCAACCAUGGACUUGCAGCGCGAACUGCCCGACUUGAGUGCGCAGAAAGCAGGCGGAAUUUGUGGUGUAGCGGUGAAAUGCUUAGAUAUCACGAAGAACCCCGAUUGCGAAGGCAGCCUGCUGUAGCGCUACUGACGCUGAAGCUCGAAAGUGCGGGUAUCGAACAGGAUU
Molecule: ribosomal RNA, 254 nt
Filed under: uncultured bacterium
Lineage: Bacteria
Description: partial 16S ribosomal RNA
Rfam family: Bacterial small subunit ribosomal RNA
Source: RNAcentral